RNAcentral lists this ribosomal RNA (1363 nucleotides) under uncultured bacterium. RNAcentral's name for it is "bacterial SSU rRNA". It matches the Rfam family "Bacterial small subunit ribosomal RNA", at positions 28 to 1381 of the family's 1533-position model. The record is from RNAcentral.
AUUGAACGCUGGCGGCAGGCCUAACACAUGCAAGUCGAACGGUAGCACAGAGGAGCUUGCUCCUCGGGUGACGAGUGGCGGACGGGUGAGUAAUGUCUGGGAAACUGCCUGAUGGAGGGGGAUAACUACUGGAAACGGUAGCUAAUACCGCAUAACGUCGCAAGACCAAAGAGGGGGACCUUCGGGCCUCUUGCCAUCAGAUGUGCCCAGAUGGGAUUAGCUAGUAGGUGGGGUAACGGCUCACCUAGGCGACGAUCCCUAGCUGGUCUGAGAGGAUGACCAGCCACACUGGAACUGAGACACGGUCCAGACUCCUACGGGAGGCAGCAGUGGGGAAUAUUGCACAAUGGGCGCAAGCCUGAUGCAGCCAUGCCGCGUGUAUGAAGAAGGCCUUCGGGUUGUAAAGUACUUUCAGCGGGGAGGAAGGCGAUACGGUUAAUAACCGUGUCGAUUGACGUUACCCGCAGAAGAAGCACCGGCUAACUCCGUGCCAGCAGCCGCGGUAAUACGGAGGGUGCAAGCGUUAAUCGGAAUUACUGGGCGUAAAGCGCACGCAGGCGGUCUGUCAAGUCGGAUGUGAAAUCCCCGGGCUCAACCUGGGAACUGCAUUCGAAACUGACAGGCUAGAGUCUUGUAGAGGGGGGUAGAAUUCCAGGUGUAGCGGUGAAAUGCGUAGAGAUCUGGAGGAAUACCGGUGGCGAAGGCGGCCCCCUGGACAAAGACUGACGCUCAGGUGCGAAAGCGUGGGGAGCAAACAGGGUUAGAUACCCUGGUAGUCCACGCUGUAAACGAUGUCGACUUGGAGGUUGUGCCCUUGAGGCGUGGCUUCCGGAGCUAACGCGUUAAGUCGACCGCCUGGGGAGUACGGCCGCAAGGUUAAAACUCAAAUGAAUUGACGGGGGCCCGCACAAGCGGUGGAGCAUGUGGUUUAAUUCGAUGCAACGCGAAGAACCUUACCUACUCUUGACAUCCACGGAACUUGCCAGAGAUGGCUUGGUGCCUUCGGGAACCGUGAGACAGGUGCUGCAUGGCUGUCGUCAGCUCGUGUUGUGAAAUGUUGGGUUAAGUCCCGCAACGAGCGCAACCCUUAUCCUUUGUUGCCAGCGGUUAGGCCGGGAACUCAAAGGAGACUGCCAGUGAUAAACUGGAGGAAGGUGGGGAUGACGUCAAGUCAUCAUGGCCCUUACGAGUAGGGCUACACACGUGCUACAAUGGCGCAUACAAAGAGAAGCGAACUCGCGAGAGCAAGCGGACCUCAUAAAGUGCGUCGUAGUCCGGAUCGGGGUCUGCAACUCGACUCCGUGAAGUCGGAAUCGCUAGUAAUCGUGGAUCAGAAUGCCACGGUGAAUACGUUCCCGGGCCU